GGGUAUGUGACGAGGAGGAGUGGAGGGACUCACCUGAGUCACCGGAGCAAGGCCGGAGCCACGCCGGCGACGCGCUAGCACAAACCCUAGCUGGUGGGCAGGGUCACGCUUGGCCGCUGGAGGACGCGUGCGUCGGAUCUUGCCCGAUGGGAGGAAGGAGCGUUGAGAGGGGGACACGGUGGUGUGCUGGGCGCCGCCGGAGGACGCUGGAAUCGGGCGGGAUCGGGCACCGUAGGUGGUGGCGGCUGCGGCGAGAAGUGAUGCGGGGAGAGGGAGAGACGAGAAAGAGAAAGGAUUGGUGGGUCAGUGGGAUUGGUGUGGCGAGAAGUGGUCUUCUUUAUUUAUUUAUUUUUUUAAAGAUGGUCUUGUUUAUUUAUUAUUCGCGCGUUGUGAAACUGAAAACCAAACGAAAUCGUUCGCGGGAUGAUCCAAACCUCUCGACGACGCAUGAGCCUGACUUUAACUCACUUUAUCCAAAAAAGGCUUUACCUCACUUAUUUAUUUAUUUAUUUAUUAUUAUUAUUAUUUACUUUCUUUGGUCGAUGCAUUGUUCCCACGGAUUGGCCCCAUCUGAUCGAUCAUAGUCAUCCAUGUCUUCUAGAUCCGACGGUAGAGACACCGUGUCACGCCGAUCAUGCCUUGCUCUAGAUAAGUAAAACCAUUAAAGUAAUUGUCAUUCCGGAACCAACUUAGGCCUAUGUUUUUUAUGGGUUAUUGAAAAAGAAAAAAAUUAUCUAGAAACCAAGUUCAAUAUAAAUAUAGUACGAAACUAAAUAAAAAUGUUGAAAUUAAUUUAGUAUGGAGCUUCAGAUGACUAGUGUGUUGUAAUGUUUCUCGCCUUUUUGGAGAUUUGUCGUACCGUCGGUCGUCCUUGGCAUGAUGGGGAUCGCCAAGAGAGAGAUUGUCUUUCACUUUUUUUUCUCGUUUCUUUUCACUUUAGGCAGCCAGCCUAUCACAUGCGAGGCCACAGAUCACUCCCUUGAAACAGAUCCUGGCCAUCCACUCCUCCUACAUCCAACGCUUCAAAACCCUCCCCUCAUCCAACACACCUCUAUCACUUUUUCUCUUCUUUUUUUUCAAUCGGUGGCACUUAAUGACCAAUUUGUGCAAUAGUAUCAUGACCUAAUGGACACAAAAGGUCAUAACAUUAUGGGCUUUGGACCCUCUUAGACUUGCCAUGACUAAUUUCGGAAUUUUGGUCAUGGAUCAAUGACCAAUUAAACCGCCGUCAUUAUUUUUGGUCAUAAUUGAGCAUUUUUCUUGUAGUGAAGGUAAAGAGUGAGGUAUUAAGCUUAAGUAUGAUUGUAUUAAAUAUUUUAUGAAUACUGAUGCUUUUCAAAAGUUUAGAACUAAGUAUGGAGUUGACUCUAAGAUGGUAGCCUCUUUUUGUGAAUCAUUUGCUACUCAAGUUGAUCUACCUAAGGUGAAGUGGUUUAGAUAUCACCCCCCUAUUAAAGAAGAAAUUAAAGAACCAACAAUAGCCAAAGAAUAAAAUAUCAUUUAUAAUGUUCACCGGUUGUCCCUACCACUUACAUUGAAAAACCUCCUUUUCUUGUUAAGAUAAAAGAACAUGCUAAGGUUCCAAUUGUGGUUCGCAAAAGUGAUAUUAAAGCACCUAAACCUUCUGAAGAACUUAAGGUAGACUCUAAUGCUGCUUUGGUUAAAGAUCUCUUGGAAUAAAAUAUUGAUGGGCAUGUUAUUUACUUCUAUGGUGAAACUGCUAGAAUUGCUAAACCUCAUGGAAAAGAUAAUCAUAGACCAGCCGUUGGCAUGUCUGUCGUCUCAAUUAAAAUAGAAGAUCAUUGUUACCAUGGUUUAUGUGAUAUAGGUGCUAGCGUAAGUGCUAUUACCUUCACUUUAUAUCAUGAAAUUAUGGAUGAAAUAGCACCCGUUGAAAUAGAAGACAUAGAUGUUACUAUUAAACUUGUUAAUAGAGACACCAUCACACCACUUGGGAUUGUUAGAGAUGUUGAAAUCUUGUGUGGGAAAAACAAAUAUCCUACUGAUUUUCUUGUUCUUAGUUCCCAGAAGAUGACUUUUGUCCCAUUAUCUUUGGUAGACCUUUUUGAACAACGUUAAUGCUACUAUAGGUUGCCAUAAACAAAUUGUGGAUGUUAAUUUUGGUGGUGAUUCUCAUGACUUUAAUUUUUCCAAGUUUAGUAGAAAACAUCAUAAGAAAGAAUUGCCUAAUAAAUAUGAGAUAAUUGGUCGUGCUUCUAUUGACAUGCCUCCCACUGAUCCUUUAGAACAAUAUUUUCUAGACCAUGAAAAUGAUAUGGAUAUGCAUGAAAGAAAUGAAAUAGAUAACAUCUUAUUUGAACAACAACCUCUUCUUAAGCACAAUUUUCCUAUUGAAACUUUAGGAGGUCCUCCUCCAUCUAAAGGUGAUCAUGUGUUUGAAUUGAAACAAUUUCCUCAUACUUUGAAAUAUGCUUAUCUUGACGGAAAAAACAUAUAUCUUAUAAUUAUUAGUGCUAACCUUUCAGAACAUGAGGACGAAAGAUUAUUGAAAGUUCUCAAGAAGCACUGAGUUGCUAUUGGAUAUACUCUUGAUGAACUUAAGUGCAUUGGCCAUCCAGCUAAGUCCGAACCUAAAUUUUCUAGGUUUAGGUUCCCAAGUAUCUCAAUAAAGCUUCUCCAGUUUCGGAAAGCAGACCAGCUCGACCCUCUCAAAGCAACACAUGUCGAGAUAACACAGAGUUUUGAGUUUGGUACAUCUAUCUUCCACACACAGCCACGACUAGCAUGGCAAUGACAGAGCCUUACAUGCCUCAAUUGUGUGCAAAGGUCAAACAGGAGAUGGUGCAUGUCCAACUUAUAGGAACACACAUUGUGCAAAGAAAGUCUUUUGAGGCAAUGAAGCACGCUAGGGUAGGCAUUCAAUAAACAAUCCAUGUCGUUGGCAAACCAUAUGGCAUAUAAGGAUCACAUCAGUCGCGCGGUUUCAUCUCGUCGAGAAUCGUAAGAUCCACAUCUUUCAAUACGCCGUUGUCGAUCGCAUUGCACACCAGUGGUCUAAUGUCACUUGAGAACACGCUGAUCGAGCAAAGCUUGAGCUGCAGGUUUGUGAGGGUCUUCGAGGUUUAUCCAAUAAGCUCCUGGCUGCUUUGGUUAGGGUCAUUUGCCUCAAUUGCAUGUGGGUGUGGAAAAGAUAGGAAAUCCUUGACGUCGAUGUUGAACGCGCGAAGAAACCAAGGCAGAUGUCUCCAACGUGUAGAGACCACACUUCUCCUUGCAGCUGUAAUUAGGUCCAUUCUGACAGCAAAAUGUCGUCAGUCAGCACGCUGAGUCUGUCUCCUCGUCUGGGCUUUCCUCAGCAUAAAGAAAGCGGACGAUAUAUUCUUACUUGACCGGGUUCAAUAUUAUUUAGCUCCAUCAAUGAAGAAUCUAAUGGGGCUUCUGCACCUUCGAAUCUUACGAGUGAUUGGUCCGCAAAAUUUACAGCUGCUUCUGAAAGGACCUAAACUACUGAACGAGGAGCGACAGAGUCAGCAGCCACGCGGGAGGGGACCACCUCCACCGCCAACGACGUUCACCAACCGGACAAAGCAAGGGAAGCACAUCAGGCCCUUUAGGCCCGUCCGAGCCUGAAAGGGGCUCAUGAAGCUCUCGUCACCGUACUGCAGUAGGCGCCCGCCGUCACCGCAACCCCCGGCACGAGGUGCAGCCCCUUCCGUUGGGGCCAUCACAGGCAAACCGAGCCAGGCCCGCCCGGACAUAGAUGGGGCCCAAAAGGGCCCAGAUCUGGGCUAGGAGGGCGGCGCCGUCGCGACAGCCCGAAGCCAAUUGGCCGCACCACCGCGAUCAGACCACCCGGAGGAGCGCCGCCCGAGAACGCCCGUCGCCGCCGGAACCACCGAAGACCGAGGAGCCCCGCAACCACCCGCGGCCACCACCAUGAAAUGCAGUCGUCUGGGCCCCGGCCGCUGCCCCACAGUCGCCGCGCAGCAUCCGCCUGACCGCCGCCGGGCCCCCGCACCAGCCCGACGCCUCCAGCCCACGCCGGCUGCCCCGCACCAGUCGCACCAAGGGAAGGGGAGAAGCUGCCCCGCCGCCAGCCACCGCAAGGGGCAAAGGGCAGCACCGGCCGACGAC
This 4095-nucleotide long non-coding RNA is filed under the name Hordeum vulgare. Its description in RNAcentral is "long non-coding RNA (HVUL_LNC013927)". Lineage: Eukaryota; Viridiplantae; Streptophyta; Magnoliopsida; Poales; Poaceae. The record is from RNAcentral.